Long non-coding RNA from Rhineura floridana, 300 nucleotides. RefSeq lists it as uncharacterized. The record is from RefSeq and is a predicted model, not a curated record. The transcript is spliced from 3 exons. NCBI's taxonomy places the organism in Eukaryota, Metazoa, Chordata, Lepidosauria, Squamata, Rhineuridae.
UAGAGGCUGGGUUGGGCAGAGCAGGGGUGGAUUCUCAAAUCUAAUUUUUCAGAUGUAUAUAUACCGGAAUGCCAAGACCUGCCACCCAAAGAUGGGGUAAAUAUAUAGUUAGAAUGAAAGAACAGGGUGCCUCUUGACCACAUUCUGAGCUUAGAUAUUUGUUUCCACGACCAACGCUGACCUCACGGUCCUUUCACACAGACCUCCGUUCCCGGUUGGUUUUGCACUUGGCAAUGUAGUUGGGAUGUAUCUGGCGCAGAACUAUGAUGUUCCGAACAUUGCAAAGAAGAUAGAAGACAU